Molecule: long non-coding RNA, 303 nt
Filed under: Mytilus galloprovincialis (Mediterranean mussel)
Lineage: Eukaryota; Metazoa; Mollusca; Bivalvia; Mytilida; Mytilidae
Source: RNAcentral
GUUUCAGUUUUAAGAAACUUUUUUAUAGGUGUAGUUAAUCAUUUGUAAUUAUAGAAUAUUGUAUUUACAUGUAUUUUUGGUCAAGAUACUUUGUGGUUUUUAAUUUUAUUUUUCAGAAGAUGAUGGUCAAGAAAGCUGGGCUAGACCAUUACUUCUACAUCUGGUUUACCUGUGAACCUAUAUUAGUUUGCAGGAUUCCAGUAGUUGUUGUUUGUAUUAUCAGGUAUGUUUAUAUUAUAAUGUAGUUUUUUCUUUAACACUGAACACUUUAUAGUGGCCGUUGGUUUGGUGCAUUUAUAUAUU